CACACACACCAAAGCCAUGAAGAAAACAUCUUCAGCGUAUAAAAUACCCUCCAAUGGGAUUCUGUGCAAGGAAGACAACACAAUCAUUUCACACUCCGGGUGCCUUCACACUUCGCGUUUGGUUAAAAGGAACUCUGGUGCAUUUGCUCGACGAGGACGCUUUGUUUGGGCAAGAACACGGUGUUUGGAAUAGUGUGACGGGCGGCGGCCUACGCCAGAGGGUCCACGAGAGGCUCCUCCUCUGCGCGGCACAGCAGCUCCUUCUUCUCGUCCGUGCUGGCCAGAGAGUUGCGGCUGUUGUGAGCGCCCAUGUACAGCGUGGCGUACACUGGAUUGGUGAAGUUGGUAGGCUGUGAGGGCGGCACCAAGGAAACAUGAAACAUCAGGCGGCGUGUAGUAGGGGUGUAAUGAUGCUCCGACAAGGAAAAACCUAAUUCCUCACGGACAUGGUGACCCACCCCGAGCUAGAUGAGCCCGCCCCGUGAUAGCUAUGAGAAAAAACAACAACAACAACAAAAGGCUUCGCUACACAUCUUAAAAUAAAGCCUGUAAGUUUGAUAAUUUUAUGUAUCUUCUUUUGCAUGAUGCUGCUGUUAAAAUAUGACUAAUGUUGGCACCAAUAAAUGAUCAUUUUCCUGGCCAUCCAGGGGAGGACUCGCCAUCGGGAGUACUGGGAGUUUUCCCGGUAGACCGAUCAAUAAUGACGACCAUUUACUCAUUCAUCCUUUCAUUCAAUCAUUCAUUCAUUUUCCAUGCCACUUGUCCUCAUUAGGGAUGUGGGGGUAUGCUGGAGCCUACGGGUGAGAGGUGAGGUACACCCUGGACUGGUCACUAGCCAAUCACACUCACAUUCAUACCUAUGGACAAUUUAGAGUCUCCAAUUAACCUAACAUUCAUAUUUUUGGAAUGAACGUGCAAACUCCACACAGAGAUGACUGAACAGAGAUAUGAACCCAGAUCUUCCAGAUCUCCUGACUGUGUGGCCAACAUGCUAACAACUAGGCUACCGUGCGGCCCACGCCUGUUUAUUUAUGGAUUUAUUGCUGCGCCUCAGUAACUACAAUAAUUAACUCUCGUGGGUUGGCCAGGGAACUCGCUGCUGCAGCCACAACACAACACAAGGUUGUCUCUCUUCAGGGGAGAGGGACAUUUUGCACAAGGGGGCGCAUUUUCAGUAAAUGUGCAAAGGAUGUGCAAAAUGUCCAGGAGCCUCAUCUGUGCGUGGAAACUGUGCGUGGAAACUUGACUAAAAGUCUCCAUAUGCCAGACACCCAAAAUGUGCGUAUGGACAAAAAUAGCCAGCGCUAUAAAAAGUGGCAUAUGGACACAUUCACGUAAUUUGUGGUUUAUACUAGAUCCCACCUUCAGUGGAAGUGUGCAGACGCAACUCCGCCUCAAGUCACGCCCUUCCCACACCUGCACUUCAACAUAAAGGUCAAUGCAAAGUGACUCAUGAAGACGUCGGUGACAAAGAAGCGGACUUUCACGGAAGCGGAGGUGGAAACACGAGAAAAAGUAUCAUAUUUGGAAGACACAGCAGUGGCAUAACAAAUAAAGAUUGAGUGACAGCAUGUCCGCUGUAAUGGAGCAAGAUGAACCGUGGCAAAACUUUAAAAAAUAGUGGUCUGAUAUCAAGGCACACAUUUCCAUUUUUAGUGAGCAUGUUUCUACAUUUUUCCUAAUUGAUACCAAUUUUGAAUAUAAGCCUACCAAAAUCUGUUUAAUUUAAAGGUAAAUGCAAAGACUCAAAACGGGGUUUUGAAGUUAUGUCAAAAAUUGAUGUAAUUGCAGACAGAUAUUUUCAAAAUACUUAACUUAAUGAUGACUUUAAUGUCAUCAAAAUAUUGGGUAUAUUAUAAUUUUAUGAAGUGUUAAUGUUGUGUAUUAGUCCAAACAAAACCAAAACCCCAUCAUUUGUGGAAAAGAAAAAUGAAAAAAAAGGAAAAUGAUAAGAGUAAAUUUACGUACACGAACGGACCUGGCACAAUAAAUGUUGCUAUUCAUGACAUACCGGUAUUUGACAUAUGCAACAAAAAAUGUCCUUAUUUUUUAUAAAUUGUCCAAAAAAAAGGGAACGGAGGACAUAUUAGCGCUGUGUCUUGUAAACUUAAACCCUAGAAUUAUUUAAUUGACAACUUGUUUGUUAAAAAUAAUAUAAUCGAACACAUAAUAUUCUCACAAUGAUAAAAUAAAAUUAUGAAAUAUUCAAGCGCUGCGUUGUGUUUUUCAUGUAUCUUUUAGUCCGUAUACCACGCUGGCACGUAAUGGUGUUUAUGACAAAUGACAAAUAAUAUCCAUCAGCGUCAUGUAAAAUAGCAACACUUUCCACAAAUGUUUUUCACUCAAUAACGGCAUGAUGUUUUCAUGCAAUGACGGAUAACUUUCUUGGCUUCAAUUUCUUGGCUUCAAUUGCAUUUUUAUUUCUAACAUGAUUUCCCUUCACCACUUAAAAUGUGAGGCGCCUUUUUGCCAUGUCUCCAAAAAUACGUUGGCGCAUAUUCUCACGCCACGUUGUGUUUUUAUAGAUCACAUA
Molecule: long non-coding RNA, 2533 nt
Organism: Dunckerocampus dactyliophorus (ringed pipefish)
Lineage: Eukaryota; Metazoa; Chordata; Actinopteri; Syngnathiformes; Syngnathidae
Exons: 3
Source: RefSeq, a predicted model, not a curated record